AAUUUUGUGCUCAACGUCUCAGUACCAGCAUGAAAGUUGAGCCGCAAACUCCCUUAGAAGAGAUGACUCCAUCUCUAAGGCUCCCGAGACACGGUUCGCAAU
Molecule: unclassified non-coding RNA, 102 nt
Organism: Chlorocebus sabaeus (green monkey)
Lineage: Eukaryota; Metazoa; Chordata; Mammalia; Primates; Cercopithecidae
Source: Ensembl